Long non-coding RNA from Cyprinus carpio carpio, 1360 nucleotides. NCBI's taxonomy places the organism in Eukaryota, Metazoa, Chordata, Actinopteri, Cypriniformes, Cyprinidae. The record is from Ensembl.
CGGGAGGGAGUUCAGCUUCCUGACAGCCUGGUGGAUGAAGCUGUCCUUCAGUCUGCUGGUCCUGGCCUGGAGACUCCGCAGUCUCCUCCCUGAUGGUAGCAGGCUGAAGAAGCUGUGUGAUGGGUGAGUGGGAUCACCUGUGAUGCAGAGGGCUUUGCGGGUGAGACGUGUUCCAUAAAUGUCCUGGAGGGAGGGUAGAGAGACACCAAUGAUCUUCUCAGCUGCUCUCACUAUGCGUUGUAGAGUCUUUCGGCAGGACGCGUUGCAGGCGCCAUACCACACAGUGAUGCAGCUCGUCAGGAUGCUCUCGAUGGUGCCUCUGUAGAAUGUGUACAUGAUGGGGGGUGGGGCUCUGGCUCUCCUCAGUUUGCGGAGGAAGUAGAGACGCUGCUGUGAUUUCUUGGCCAGUGCUGCAGUGUUGUCGGUCCAGGAGAGGUCCUCUGUGAUGUGCACACCCAGGAACUUGGUGCUGCUCACUCUCUCCACAGUCGCACCGUUGAUGGUCAGAGGAACGUGCUGAGUGUGUGCUCUCCUGAAGUCUACAACAAUCUCCUUCGUCUUCUCCACGUUCAGAGAGAGAUUGUUGUCACUGCACCACCCGGCCAGGCGGCUCACCUCGCUCCUGUAGUUUGUCUCAUCUCUGUUGCUAAUGAGACCCACCACAGUCGUGUCAUCCGCAAACUUAAUGAAGAGGUUGGAGCUGUGUGACGGUGUGCAGUCAUGGGUCAGCAGAGUGAAGAGGAGGGGGCUCAGCACACAUCCUUGGGGGGCCCCAGUGUUCAGUGUGAUGGUGCUGGAUGUGUUGCUGCCGACCCGUACUGCCUGAGGUCUUCCAGUCAGAAAGUCCAACAGCCAGUUUCACAGCAAAGUGUUGAGCCCCAGCUCGACCAGUUUGUGAAUGAGCUGUUGAGGGAUGAUUGUGUUGAAUGCUGAACUGAAGUCUAUGAACAGCAUUCUGACGUAUGAGUCCUUUUUGUCUAGAUGUGUGAGUGCUGAGUGGAUGGCAGUAGUGAUGGCAUAAUCGGUCGACCGGUUGGACCGAUAUGCAAACUGGAAUGGGUCCAGGGAGGGGGGGGGGGCAGACUUGAUGUGGUGCAUGACUAGCCGUUCAAAGCACUUCAUGAGGAUGGGAGUAAGUGCAACAGGAUGGUAGUCAUUAAAGCAGGAUGGAGAUGGCUUCUUCGGGACUGGAAUGAUGGUGGUAGUUUUGAAGCAUGUUGGAACAACAGCCUGACUCAGUGAGAUGUUGAAAAUGUCUGUGAAGACAUCAGUGAGUUCUGCUGCACAGUCUCUCAGUACACGCCCAGGAAUGUUGUCAGGUCCCGGAGCUUUGCAUGCAUUGAUCCUGCUGAAGGAUCUC